UAUUUUGUUUAUUUUUUUAUGCUCUGAGAAUCAAUACCCACCAGGCCACGAAAGCGCUCAAAAGUAGAAAACAUUGCAUAAAAUUCCAAAUCCAAUAGCCAUUUUCUCAUCUCUUUGCUCUUCCACGCCCGCACUCAAGACUCUUCAGCUAAUCUCCGUGUGAGCGUUUAAUCCAACAAGGAAGAAGUAUGGUGGGAUUUUCUUUUCCCUUUGGUUUAGUAUCCAUCUCUGGCUAUCUUGCACCUGAGAAAGAAUUUCACUUGCUGGCAUCUGUCUUCUUUGGCAUCAUUCUCUGCAAUAUUGUUUACAGAUUAACGCAGCUUAUUAGCCUUCUUAGCGUCAAGGGAUAUGACAAACUCACCAAAGCAGAAAAAGUUGAAUGGAACAACCGGGGGUUCUCAACUGUUCAUGCUAUUGCCGUAGCAUUUGCAUCCUUUUACCUUGUAGUGCUGUCAGAUACUUUUCAUGAGGAUCAUCGUGAUGAGCCAAUCGUGAGUAGAAGAUCUACCAUUUCAGAUACAACAUUGGGGAUCUCCAUUGGAUAUUUUCUGUCAGACUUGGGAAUGGUCUUUUGGCAUUUUCCUGCUUUGGGUGGACUGGAGUAUGUUUUGCAUCAUGGACUGUCUAUGUACUCAAUCUUGCUCUCCCUUAUAAGUGGAAAAGGCCAGAUUUACAUACUAAUGGUUCUGUUCUCUGAGAGCACAACUCCUUUCGUAAACAUGAGAUGGUAUUUGUAUGUUGCUGGUAAGAAGAACUCUAACCUGUACGUCUUCAAUGGCGUAGCAAUGUUCCUCGGGUGGCUGGCUGCAAGGGUUCUUUUGUUCAUUUACUUUUUCGUCCACAUGUUUAUCCAUUUUGAUCAAGUCAAGACAAUCUUCCCUUUAGGAUUUUACAGCUUGCUCCUUGUGCCUCCAAUGUUGACUAUGAUGAAUCUCUUUUGGUUUUGGAAGAUUACCAAAGGUUUGAUCAAAACUGUUUCCAAGGCCAAACACAGUCAUUGAUCCUUCUAUCUCACAAGUCGGGAAUUCGACCUACCCAAAUAUACAUUACUCAGUUCGAGUCUUCAUGAACUUGCAAACUUCCGAUGAGAUUGGGGAUGAAAUGGAGUAGCAGUCUUUUAUGUCUCUUCCAGCAUCAACUCGUACGAAUGAGUUGUGCCAAAAUUGUUAUCCGUUGAUUAUGAAAAUGAUUUUCACACACCAUUCCUUCCAAUAAAUAACCUUGUUUGUUUUUA
RNA transcript from Pyrus x bretschneideri (Chinese white pear), 1234 nucleotides. It is a transcript of the gene named TLC domain-containing protein 4, with no coding region annotated. The transcript is spliced from 10 exons. NCBI's taxonomy places the organism in Eukaryota, Viridiplantae, Streptophyta, Magnoliopsida, Rosales, Rosaceae. The record is from RefSeq and is a predicted model, not a curated record.